GGGGGAUUUCUAAUUAAAUAAGGUGUAAACUAACAAUUGUCAAAAGUAAAACCAUCCUUUUAACCAAAAACAGUAUGCUAUUAAUAAAAAAGAACUAUUAUCGCUAUAGCAAUUUGAAAAUGUACGAUUAUGUAUAAUAAUCUAUUCACACUAAUCUUGAGUAGCUUUGUUUUCAGUUUUAUCUACACUGUUUCCAAGAUGGACCGUAUCUCGUUCUGCACACUUUGCAUAGUCGUCGUUUUGUGUGUUGCUAGCUUACCUAGCAAUAGAAAAGGGUAUACACAAGAAAAGAGUCCAGGUCAAGAACCACAGUCCCAGAUUGGUCACUGGCUACCAGGCUAUGUCCUACGUGCUGUUGCCCAUGAUUGCUGUCCUCCAGACAAUAGAUGGAUACUAGAUGAUGUCAAUAAAUACGCCUAAUCAUUAGUGUUUCCAGGGCAAGGUCAAUGAAAAGUACUAAAAAGUAGUAAAGUACACCAGUGGAACUAACAGUUUUUAUUUCGUCAAUAAUAAAUACAAAAAUAAAGUAGUUUUUUUCUUGAAGAGAACUAAAUGUCCAUGAAGUGUAUGUAAACAAUUAACUAUUUGGUGCUUAGAAAAGAGAUGACUUGUGUCAUAAAUGAUUUUCUUUGUACAUGAAUAGUACAAUCCAGAGUUUAGAAAAGUCAUAUCCAUUUGCGUGGUCAACCGAAAGAUGAAAUAGAAAAAAACCUUUUUUCUUUCUUUUUGCUAUCAAAUAUCUGAGCGUCUUGUGAUAUCUCUUUGACUUUUAUUUAUCUCAUCGAUUUGUGUAA
Long non-coding RNA from Magallana angulata, 794 nucleotides. RefSeq lists it as uncharacterized. The record is from RefSeq and is a predicted model, not a curated record. NCBI's taxonomy places the organism in Eukaryota, Metazoa, Mollusca, Bivalvia, Ostreida, Ostreidae. The transcript is spliced from 3 exons.